UGAUUUAGUCGGUUCUCGACUCUCAUUGAAACGGCAGUUCAAAGUCUGAUUGAAAGAACGCGGACCACCGAGCACUCUUCUUCACACACGUGUAAAAAAUAUGGAUAUGAAUCAGAGGAAACAAUUAGGCAAUUUUAAAGGAUUUUUCUUCGCCACCCUCCUCAUGCACCACUGGGAUUGAUAGUAGUCCCCUCUGCUACGAUGAUAGAAUCCACGUCGA
Molecule: long non-coding RNA, 220 nt
Organism: Drosophila biarmipes
Lineage: Eukaryota; Metazoa; Arthropoda; Insecta; Diptera; Drosophilidae
Exons: 2
Source: RefSeq, a predicted model, not a curated record